This 409-nucleotide ribosomal RNA is filed under the name uncultured bacterium. RNAcentral describes it as "bacterial SSU rRNA". It matches the Rfam family "Bacterial small subunit ribosomal RNA", at positions 509 to 916 of the family's 1533-position model. The record is from RNAcentral.
CAGCAGCCGCGGUAAUACGGGGGGUGCGAGCGUUGUUCGGAAUUAUUGGGCGUAAAGAGCGUGUAGGCGGCUGGAUAAGUCAGAUGUGAAAGCCCUGGGCUUAACCCAGGAAGUGCAUUUGAAACUGUCCGGCUGGAGUAAGGGAGAGGAAAGUGGAAUUCCUGGUGUAGAGGUGAAAUUCGUAGAUAUCAGGAGGAACACCGGUGGCGAAGGCGACUUUCUGGCCCUAUACUGACGCUGAGACGCGAGAGCGUGGGUAGCAAACAGGAUUAGAUACCCUGGUAGUCCACGCUGUAAACGAUGUUCACUAGGUGUUGGGGGUAUUGACCCCCUCAGUGCCGCAGCUAACGCAUUAAGUGAACCGCCUGGGGAGUACGGUCGCAAGAUUAAAACUCAAAGGAAUUGACGG